UCGGUGAAUGGCUUGGCAUG
RNAcentral lists this microRNA (20 nucleotides) under Gallus gallus (chicken). Its description in RNAcentral is "gga-miR-1755". Lineage: Eukaryota; Metazoa; Chordata; Aves; Galliformes; Phasianidae. The record is from miRBase by way of RNAcentral.